CUGCUCCUGUUCACCGUUCCAAAAUCCCUUCCAUACCGAUUCCCUUUUUCUCGUUUCUUUCAUUCCUUUUCCUGUUUUGUUUGGAUCCAUUUAUCUUUUCCAUUCUGACAGUUCUCACAAGCUUUUCUUCUUACGCGCCCCGAGUGUUACUUUUCGAUUUCCUUUUUGAUAUCCUUUUCAAUUUCCUUUUCGAUUUCCUUUGUCUCCUUUUUGAUAUAUAUGGAUGGGUUUGGGUUUCGUUUUCAUUCAUUCGCUUUCUCUCUCUCUCNN
RNAcentral lists this long non-coding RNA (270 nucleotides) under Trifolium pratense (red clover). RNAcentral's name for it is "long non-coding RNA (TPRA_LNC009814)". The record is from RNAcentral. Lineage: Eukaryota; Viridiplantae; Streptophyta; Magnoliopsida; Fabales; Fabaceae.